CCUACGGGGGGCAGCAGUGGGGAAUAUUGCGCAAUGGGGGGAACCCUGACGCAGCGACGCCGCGUGAGCGAAGAAGGCCUUCGGGUCGUAAAGCUCUGUCAUUGGGGACGAAGGUAAGGUGACGGUACCCAAAGAGGAAGCCCCGGCUAACUACGUGCCAGCAGCCGCGGUAAUACGUAGGGGGCGAGCGUUGUCCGGAAUUACUGGGCGUAAAGGGUGCGUAGGCGGUCCAUUAAGUCAGGUGUGAAAA
RNAcentral lists this ribosomal RNA (250 nucleotides) under Caldicoprobacter algeriensis. RNAcentral's name for it is "partial 16S ribosomal RNA". It matches the Rfam family "Bacterial small subunit ribosomal RNA", at positions 338 to 600 of the family's 1533-position model. Lineage: Bacteria; Bacillati; Bacillota; Clostridia; Caldicoprobacterales; Caldicoprobacteraceae. The record is from RNAcentral.